AUUAGGAAUUUAGUAAAAAACAAAAAGAGAGGCGUGCUGCUUUGGAGUAUCCUCAUCGUUCAUCACGACGCAGUUAUAAAGAAAUAGAAUUUGACCUUCAAACUAAAUUAGGCACAGAUGAGCCAAUAGACCGAUCUAUACUUUGGAAGGAGGCAAGGAAAGAUGCAUCGGGAAAUUAUGUAAAUGAACGUGACAAGCUUAUAGGAGAUGCCAUUGAUGACCUUCUAGAUCAAAGAAACGAGGGGACACUUGUAGAGGUUGGGACAAACGAUAUAUUGACACAAGUGUUAGGGAAAAAGGAGCAUCCUGGUAGAGUAAGAGGCCAAAGUCGUGGCGUUACACAAAGAGACUACUUUUUGAAGCCAGCAGGAGGUUUUAGUGGACUUCAACAAUAUCAAUUUCAAUUUCAACAACACCAAUCGCAAAAAUACUUAGAUGACUUUAAAAAGUUAGAGCAAUCGUUUGAGCAAAGACUACGUAGUCAAGCUGAACAAUUUGAAGCAGAACGAAAAAGAGAAAGAGAAGAACGAGAAAGAGAAGAACAAGAACGAGAAUGAGAGUUGUUUUUGACAAAGUUUACAGAAUUAGCAAAUCAAAUUUCAUCAUUAAAAGGAAGUGAAGUGAGUUUGCCUACGAUAGUUUCACCAUCAAGUGAGACCCCUACACCAAUGGAGGUGGUAAACGAGUCUUUAAUU
Long non-coding RNA from Humulus lupulus (European hop), 695 nucleotides. RefSeq lists it as uncharacterized. The record is from RefSeq and is a predicted model, not a curated record. NCBI's taxonomy places the organism in Eukaryota, Viridiplantae, Streptophyta, Magnoliopsida, Rosales, Cannabaceae. The transcript is spliced from 3 exons.